RNAcentral lists this ribosomal RNA (490 nucleotides) under uncultured bacterium. RNAcentral's name for it is "partial 16S ribosomal RNA". It matches the Rfam family "Bacterial small subunit ribosomal RNA", at positions 30 to 507 of the family's 1533-position model. The record is from RNAcentral.
AUUGAACGCUGGCGGCAGGCCUAACACAUGCAAGUCGAACGGUAACAGGAAGCAGCUUGCUGCUUCGCUGACGAGUGGCGGACGGGUGAGUAAUGUCUGGGAAACUGCCUGAUGGAGGGGGAUAACUACUGGAAACGGUAGCUAAUACCGCAUAACGUCGCAAGACCAAAGAGGGGGACCUUAGGGCCUCUUGCCAUCGGAUGUGCCCAGAUGGGAUUAGCUAGUAGGUGGGGUAACGGCUCACCUAGGCGACGAUCCCUAGCUGGUCUGAGAGGAUGACCAGCCACACUGGAACUGAGACACGGUCCAGACUCCUAAGGGAGGCAGCAGUGGGGAAUAUUGCACAAUGGGCGCAAGCCUGAUGCAGCCAUGCCGCGUGUAUGAAGAAGGCCUUCGGGUUGUAAAGUACUUUCAGCGGGGAGGAAGGGAGUAAAGUUAAUACCUUUGCUCAUUGACGUUACCCGCAGAAGAAGCACCGGCUAACUCCGUG